RNAcentral lists this ribosomal RNA (419 nucleotides) under uncultured bacterium. RNAcentral's name for it is "bacterial SSU rRNA". It matches the Rfam family "Bacterial small subunit ribosomal RNA", at positions 386 to 793 of the family's 1533-position model. The record is from RNAcentral.
AUGCAGCCAUGCCGCGUGUGUGAGAAGGACCUCGGGUUGUUAAAGCACUUUCAGUAGGGAGGAAGGUAGUGUAGUUAACACCUGCAUUAUUUGACGUUACCUACAGAAGAAGCACCGGCUAACUCCGUGCCAGCAGCCGCGGUAAUACGGACGGGUGCGAGCGUUAAUCGGAAUUACUGGGCGUAAAGCGCAUGCAGGCGGCCUGUUAAGUCAGAUGUGAAAGCCCGGGGCUUAACCUCGGAAUUGCAUUUGAAACUGGCAGGCUAGAGUCUUGUAGAGGGGGGUAGGAAUUUCAGGUGUAGCGGUGAAAUGCGUAGAGAUCUGAAGGAAUACCAGUGGCGAAGGCGGCCCCCCUGGACAAAGACUGACGCUCAGAUGCGAAAGCGUGGGGAGCAAACAGGAUUAGAUACCCCUGGUAG